AUGUACCGCCUUGUACACGGCUGUUUCUGCGCGCUGUCCGUGCCCACCCGACAGCAACCCGCAACGUUUUGUUAGCC
RNAcentral lists this small RNA (77 nucleotides) under Xanthomonas albilineans. RNAcentral's name for it is "sX9 sRNA". It matches the Rfam family "Xanthomonas sRNA sX9". The record is from RNAcentral. Lineage: Bacteria; Pseudomonadati; Pseudomonadota; Gammaproteobacteria; Lysobacterales; Lysobacteraceae.